RNAcentral lists this ribosomal RNA (106 nucleotides) under Sinocyclocheilus rhinocerous. Lineage: Eukaryota; Metazoa; Chordata; Actinopteri; Cypriniformes; Cyprinidae. The record is from RNAcentral.
CAGCCAUAUCACCCUGCAGCACAAGACUGCUUGCCCACUGAAGCUAAGCAGGGUUGAGCCUGGUCAGUACCUGGAUGGGAGACCUCCUGGGAAAACUAGGUUACUG